Molecule: long non-coding RNA, 1151 nt
Filed under: Mus spicilegus (steppe mouse)
Lineage: Eukaryota; Metazoa; Chordata; Mammalia; Rodentia; Muridae
Description: lncRNA (ENSMSIG00000006640.1)
Source: RNAcentral
AUGUUAUCACCAUUGGAACAAGAUGCGGAUUCAUCAACUGAAAUUGUCCUUCUCACAGUAUUCAAGUUUCUGAUAACAAAGCAAAAAUUCAAGAUUGAAGGGGGAAAAAAGGCAUCCUUGGAAGGAUUCUGCUGUCACUUGAAGAAGUCUACAGGUGAAGUUCUUCUGAUGAGUGGAUUUUCAUGGAGCUUGAGUAGAAGCAAACAAUGGAGUAGUCAGUUCCCCGAAAUGUUGAAGGAGUUACUAGCUAUCAUCUUUGUCCAUUACUCUGGUGACAUCUCCCAGACCUUUUUCGGAGGAAGUGUUUCAUUGGAUGCGGGGGUGGGGGCGUUGGGGGUCUCUUAGUACUUAAGUUCCACACAGGAUAGAAGACAGUCUCCUCCUGGCUGACUUCAGAUCAAAAUGUAGAACUCUUGGAUUCUCCAGAAUCAAGUCUGCCUGCACAGUGCCAUGCUUCCCACCAUGAAAAUAAUUCUCUGAACCACUGCAACUGUAAGCCAGCCACCAUGAAAUGUUUUCCUGUAUAAAAGUUAUCCAAGUCUUAUUGUCCCAGCAAAGAGACACUAAGUAGGUCAUGAGUACUAUAAGGAAACACGCUAUUGUAAUUUACAUAUAAAGACUUGAUGACCAACAUACUUGAAAAUAAUUGCUUGCAUUCUGAGUAAAGUGUUGUGCUCAAGCACCAUCCCUAAAUCUUCUUGCUGAUGAUAUCAGUCAUAAGGAAAGAAUAAUGGGCUAAAUGAUAUAGUAAAUGCUAUAAUAUUUCCCUAUGAUAAGUGGAAUAUCUAUAUCAUCCUGUGCCCCAAAGAUCAAGAAAUUGUUAUGGCUAGAGCAAUCUGAAGCUUUCCUGAGGCCCUAAUGUCUGAAGGGAAAAAGUGAACACCAAGAAUAUUCUUGGCACUUUCAAGAAUGGUCUGAGCCAAGAGACUUUGAGAAUGUGGCUUCUAACUUGGAGAACCAAAUGCCAUAAUGGACUGGGAAUAACUGUACCAAAAUUACUUUGUGCUUUUCUCUGAUGGUAUUGAGAUAUCCUGUGAACCCGUUUAAUUCAUUUCAUUUUCUUGACAUAUCCCAUUUUUACUUCCAGAAAAUGUUUAUAAGAUGUUAUACUUCUUAAUAAACUUGCUUGUCAAAAGUUAUAGUUUGUAUAA